Molecule: ribosomal RNA, 776 nt
Filed under: uncultured Neocallimastigales
Lineage: Eukaryota; Fungi; Neocallimastigomycota; Neocallimastigomycetes; Neocallimastigales
Description: partial large subunit ribosomal RNA
Rfam family: Eukaryotic large subunit ribosomal RNA
Source: RNAcentral
UAUCUCUGUAGAGUCUGCAUAUCAAUAAGCGGAGGAAAAGAAACUAACAAGGAUUCCCCUAGUAACGGCGAGUGAAGCGGGAAGAGCUCAAAUUUGAAAUCUUCAAGGUUCUGACCUUGACGAAUUGUAGUUUAAAGAAGUGUUUUCGGUUAGAGGAGUAGUAAAAGUUCUUUGGAAUAGGACAUCAUAGAGGGUGAGAAUCCCGUAUUUGACUAUUCUUUCUAGCUUUGUGAUACACUUUCAAAGAGUCGGAUUGUUUGGGAAUGCAGUCCAAAAUGGGUGGUAAAUUUCAUCUAAAGCUAAAUAUUGGCGAGAGACCGAUAGCGAACAAGUACCGUGAGGGAAAGAUGAAAAGAACUUUGAAAAGAGAGUUAAACAGUACGUGAAAUUGUCAAAAGGGAAGCGUUUGACACCAGUGUUGUUUUUUCCGAAAAUCAAUUAAAAAUUGAUUCAUGCCAGGUUGUAUUGACCUUAUCAGCUUGCAAUUUGGUUUUGGGUCUCUUUUUGAUGCACUUUUCGGUUAACAAGUCAACAUCAAUUUCCUUUGCUGUAAAAAGGUAAGAGGAAGGUGGCUUCAAUUUCGGUUGAAGUGUUUAUAGCCUUUUAUCUCUGCAGUCGGGGAGAUUGAGGUCUGCAGCGUAGAUCCUUCGGGGCUAGAUACAUUUAUGCUAAGUUAUAGCUUUUCAUAGACAACUUGUUGACUAUGUUUAGUCAUGUAGCUUACUCGUAAGUGCUAUUUUACCUACGCUUAGGAUGUUGAGCGCAUGUCUCUCUCU